RNAcentral lists this ribosomal RNA (253 nucleotides) under uncultured bacterium. Its description in RNAcentral is "partial 16S ribosomal RNA". It matches the Rfam family "Bacterial small subunit ribosomal RNA", at positions 524 to 776 of the family's 1533-position model. The record is from RNAcentral.
UACAGAGGUCCCAAGCGUUGUUCGGAUUCACUGGGCGUAAAGAGCGUGUAGGCGGCUAGGUAGGUCCGUUGUGAAAACUCGAGGCUCAACCUCGAGACGCCGGUGGAAACCAUCUAGCUAGAGUCCGGAAGAGGAGAGUGGAAUCCCUGGUGUAGCGGUGAAAUGCGCAGAUAUCAGGAAGAACACCAAUGGCGAAGGCAGCUCUCUGGGACGGUACUGACGCUGAGACGCGAAAGCGUGGGGAGCGAACAGG